This 253-nucleotide ribosomal RNA is filed under the name uncultured bacterium. RNAcentral's name for it is "partial 16S ribosomal RNA". It matches the Rfam family "Bacterial small subunit ribosomal RNA", at positions 524 to 776 of the family's 1533-position model. The record is from RNAcentral.
UACAGAGGGUGCGAGCGUUGUUCGGAAUCAUUGGGCGUAAAGGGCGUGUAGGCGGUUUGUUAAGUCAUGUGUGAAAUCCCUCGGCUCAACCGGGGAAGGACGCAUGAAACUGGCAAGCUAGAGUACCAAAGAGGGGGGUGGAAUUCCCGGUGUAGCGGUGAAAUGCGCAGAUAUCAGGAGGAACACCAAUGGCGAAGGCAGCUCACUGGGACGGUAUUGACGCUGAGACGCGAAAGCGUGGGGAGCAAACAGG